UUUCGUCAGUCAAGAUAAUUUGGCAGCUCCUUAUGCCAUUUCUGCUUCAGAAAAUUCAUGAUCGAUGAGCUGAUCAACAAAUUUGAGACACAU
This is a small nucleolar RNA of Nymphaea colorata (pocket water lily), 93 nucleotides long. Lineage: Eukaryota; Viridiplantae; Streptophyta; Magnoliopsida; Nymphaeales; Nymphaeaceae. The record is from RefSeq and is a predicted model, not a curated record.